This 494-nucleotide ribosomal RNA is filed under the name uncultured bacterium. RNAcentral describes it as "partial 16S ribosomal RNA". It matches the Rfam family "Bacterial small subunit ribosomal RNA", at positions 28 to 523 of the family's 1533-position model. The record is from RNAcentral.
GAUGAACGCUAGCGGGAGGCCUAACACAUGCAAGUCGAACGGGAUUGGUAGCAAUACCAUGAGAGUGGCGCACGGGUGAGUAACGCGUAUGCAACCUACCUUUAACAGAGGGAUAGCCCAUAGAAAUGUGGAUUAAUACCUCAUAGUCCGGGUGAGCUGCAUGUUUUACCAGGUAAAGCUUUUGCGGUUAAAGAUGGGCAUGCGUGACAUUAGCUCGUUGGUGAGGUAACGGCUCACCAAGGCAACGAUGUCUAGGGGUUCUGAGAGGAUGAUCCCCCACACUGGUACUGAGACUCGGACCAGACUCCUACGGGAGGCAGCAGUGAGGAAUAUUGGUCAAUGGGCGCAAGCCUGAACCAGCCAUCCCGCGUGCAGGAUGACGGCCCUAUGGGUUGUAAACUGCUUUUAUACAGGAAGAAAAAUCUCUACGUGUAGGGACUUGCCGGUACUGUAUGAAUAAGCAUCGGCUAACUCCGUGCCAGCAGCCGCGGUAA